This 363-nucleotide unclassified non-coding RNA is filed under the name plant metagenome. Its description in RNAcentral is "partial contains 5.8S ribosomal RNA, internal transcribed spacer 2, and large subunit ribosomal RNA". The stretch from base 1 to 105 matches the Rfam family "5.8S ribosomal RNA", at positions 50 to 154 of the family's 154-position model. The record is from RNAcentral.
GAAAUGCGAUAAGUAAUGUGAAUUGCAGAAUUCAGUGAAUCAUCGAAUCUUUGAACGCAUCUUGCGCUCCUUGGUAUUCCGAGGAGCAUGCCUGUUUGAGUGUCAUUAAAUUCUCAACUCCACUCCAGUUUUUUGAAGCUGGUGUUCGGGGCUUGGACAUUGGGGGUCUAUGCCGGCCUUUGUAAAACGAGGUCGGCUCCUCUGAAAUGCAUUAGCGGAACCGUUUGCGGUCCAUCACAGGUGUGAUAACUAUCUACGCCGUGGGGCUGCUCUCUGUCUGUUCAGCUGCCAAUCGUCCUUCCAGGGGACAAUCUCUGAACAUUUUGACCUCAAAUCAGGUAGGACUACCCACUGAACUUAAGC